UAGGGAAUCUUCGGCAAUGGGGGGAACCCUGACCGAGCAACGCCGCGUGAGUGAAGAAGGUUUUCGGAUCGUAAAGCUCUGUUGUUAAGGAAGAACGAGUGUGAGAAUGGAAAGUUCAUGCUGUGACGGUACUUAACCAGAAAGGGACGGCUAACUACGUGCCAGCAGCCGCGGUAAUACGUAGGUCCCGAGCGUUGUCCGGAUUUAUUGGGCGUAAAGCGAGCGCAGGCGGUUAGAAAAGUCUGAAGUGAAAGGCAGUGGCUCAACCAUUGUAGGCUUGGGAAACUGUUUAACUUGAGUGCAGAAGGGGAGAGUGGAAUUCCAUGUGUAGCGGUGAAAUGCGUAGAUAUAUGGAGGAACACCGGUGGCGAAAGCGGGUCUCUGGUCUGUAACUGACGCUGAGGCUCGAAAGCGUGGGGAGCGAACAGG
RNAcentral lists this ribosomal RNA (429 nucleotides) under Verrucomicrobiota bacterium. Its description in RNAcentral is "Verrucomicrobia bacterium partial 16S ribosomal RNA". It matches the Rfam family "Bacterial small subunit ribosomal RNA", at positions 355 to 776 of the family's 1533-position model. The record is from RNAcentral. Lineage: Bacteria; Pseudomonadati; Verrucomicrobiota.